CGUAGGGGGCAAGCGUUGUCCGGAUUUAUUGGGCGUAAAGCGCGUGUAGGCGGCUAUGCAGGUCCGCUGUGAAAACUCGAGGCUCAACCUCGAGACGUCGGUGGAAACCGUAUGGCUAGAGUCCGGAAGAGGAGAGUGGAAUUCCCGGUGUAGCGGUGAAAUGCGCAGAUAUCGGGAAGAACACCCGUGGCGAAGGCGGCUCUCUGGGACGGUACUGACGCUGAGACGCGAAAGCGUGGGGAGCGAACAGGAUUAGAUACCUUGGUAGUCCACGCCGUAAACGAUGGGUGCUAGGUGUGGGAGGUGUCGACUCCUUCCGUGCCGCAGCUAACGCAUUAAGCACCCCGCCUGGGGAGUACGGCCGCAAGGCUA
Molecule: ribosomal RNA, 372 nt
Filed under: uncultured organism
Description: bacterial SSU rRNA
Rfam family: Bacterial small subunit ribosomal RNA
Source: RNAcentral